AUACGGCCCAUAUUCCUACGGGAAGCAGCAGUGAGGAAUUUUUCACAAUGGACGAAAGCCUGAUGGAGCAAUACCACGUGAACGAUGAAGAUCUUCUGAUUGUAAAGUUCUUUUAUUUAGGAAAAAAAGCUUGAUAGGAAAUGAUUAAGCCUUGAUCGUACUAAAUGAAUAAGUGACAGCUAACUAUGUGCCAGCAGCUGCGGUAAAACAUAGGUCACGAGCAUUAUCCGGAUUUAUUGGGCGUAAAGGAAGCGUAGGCGGACAAGUUGAUCUAUUGUGAAAAGCACUUGCUCAACAAGUUGUUUGUGAUAGAUAUCGCUUGUCUAGAAUUAGUUAGGAGAUACUGGAAUUCAAUGUGUAGCGGUGGAAUGCGUAGAUAUAUUGAGGAACACCAGAGGCUAAGGCGAGUAUCUAGAACAUAAUUGACGCUGAGGCUUGAAAGCGUGGGGAGCAAAUGGGAUUAGAUACCCCAGUAGUCCACGCCAUAAACGAUGGGUAUUAGGUAUUUGAUAUAAGAUUGAGUGCUGUAGCUAACGCGUUAAAUACCCCGCCUGGGUAGUAUAUAUGCAAAUAUGAAACUCAAAGAAAUUGACGGGGACCUGAACAAGUGGUGGAGCA
RNAcentral lists this ribosomal RNA (618 nucleotides) under uncultured Mycoplasma sp. RNAcentral describes it as "bacterial SSU rRNA". It matches the Rfam family "Bacterial small subunit ribosomal RNA", at positions 324 to 939 of the family's 1533-position model. Lineage: Bacteria; Bacillati; Mycoplasmatota; Mollicutes; Mycoplasmatales; Mycoplasmataceae. The record is from RNAcentral.